Molecule: long non-coding RNA, 613 nt
Organism: Oncorhynchus tshawytscha (Chinook salmon)
Lineage: Eukaryota; Metazoa; Chordata; Actinopteri; Salmoniformes; Salmonidae
Source: Ensembl
GUGGGGUGGCCAGUCCUCUUCUGGCUGUGCCGGGUGGAGAUUAUAACAGAACAUGGCCAAGAUGUUCAAAUGUUCAUAAAUGACCAGCAUGGUCGAAUAAUAAUAAGGCAGAACAGUUGAAACUGGAGCAGCAGCACAGUCAGGUGGACUGGGGACAGCAAGGAGUCAUCAUGUCAGGUAGUCCUGGGGCAUGGUCCUAGGGCUCAGGUCCUCCGAGAGAGAGAAAGAAAGAGAGAAGGAGAGAAUUAGAGAACGCACACUUAGAUUCACACAGGACACCGAAUAGGACAGGAGAAGUACUCCAGAUAAACAAACUGACCCCAGCCCCCCGACACAUAAACUACUGCAGCAUAAAUACUGGAGGCUGAGACAGGAGGGGUCAGGAGACACUGUGGCCCCAUCCGAGGACACCCCCGGACAGGGCCAAACAGGAAGGAUAUAACCCCACCCACUUUGCCAAAGCACAGCCCCCACACCACUAGAGGGAUAUCUUCAACCACCAACUUACCAUCCUGAGACAAGGCUGAGUAUAGCCCACAAAGAUCUCCACCACGGCACAACCCAAGGGGGGGGCGCCAACCCAGACAGGAUGACCACAACAGUGAAUCAACCC